Molecule: ribosomal RNA, 492 nt
Filed under: uncultured bacterium
Lineage: Bacteria
Description: bacterial SSU rRNA
Rfam family: Bacterial small subunit ribosomal RNA
Source: RNAcentral
AGAGUUGAUCCUGGCUUAGGACGAACGCUGGCGGCGUGCCUAACACAUGCAAGUCGAGCGAGGAGAUCCUCGGGAUGAUCCUAGCGGCGGACGGGUGAGUAACACGUGGGCAACCUGCCUCAUAGAGAGGAAUAGCCUUCCGAAAGGGAGAUUAAUACCUCAUAACAUUGCAGUUUCGCAUGAAACAGCAAUUAAAGGAGCAAUCCGCUAUGAGAUGGGCCCGCGGCGCAUUAGCUAGUUGGUGAGGUAACGGCUCACCAAGGCGACGAUGCGUAGCCGACCUGAGAGGGUGAUCGGCCACAUUGGGACUGAGACACGGCCCAGACUCCUACGGGAGGCAGCAGGUGGGGAAUAUUGCACAAUGGGGGAAACCCUGAUGCAAGCAGCGCCGCGUGAGUGAUGACGGCCUUCGGGUUGUAAAGCUCUGUCUUCAGGGACGAUAAUGACGGUACCUGAGGAGGAAGCCACGGCUAACUACGUGCCAGCCGCCGC